GACGAACGCUGGCGGCGUGCUUAACACAUGCAAGUCGAACGGAAAGACCCUGCUUUUGUGGGGUGCUCGAGUGGCGAACGGGUGAGUAACACGUGAGUAACCUGCCCUUGACUUUGGGAUAACUUCAGGAAACUGGGGCUAAUACCGGAUAGGAGCUCCUGCUGCAUGGUGGGGGUUGGAAAGUUUCGGCGGUUGGGGAUGGACUCGCGGCUUAUCAGCUUGUUGGUGGGGUAGUGGCUUACCAAGGCUUUGACGGGUAGCCGGCCUGAGAGGGUGACCGGCCACAUUGGGACUGAGAUACGGCCCAGACUCCUACGGGAGGCAGCAGUGGGGAAUAUUGCACAAUGGGCGGAAGCAUGAUGCAGCAACGCCGCGUGCGGGAUGACGGCCUUCGGGUUGUAAACCGCUUUCGCCUGUGACGAAGCGUGAGUGACGGUAAUGGGUAAAGAAGCACCGGCUAACUACGU
This 467-nucleotide ribosomal RNA is filed under the name uncultured bacterium. RNAcentral's name for it is "partial 16S ribosomal RNA". It matches the Rfam family "Bacterial small subunit ribosomal RNA", at positions 28 to 506 of the family's 1533-position model. The record is from RNAcentral.